GGUUGUAUGGUGUAGUGGUCAGCACACCAGAUUCUGACCUGCCUGCUGGCAGCGAGAAUUCUGGGGACUUGGGUUCAAUUCCCAAUACGACCU
Molecule: non-coding RNA, 93 nt
Organism: Orbilia brochopaga
Lineage: Eukaryota; Fungi; Ascomycota; Orbiliomycetes; Orbiliales; Orbiliaceae
Source: the annotation of a GenBank genome assembly